CAGUGAUCCCACCACACCACCAAAACGUAGCAUCCCUGUUGAUUGCAGGAUCAAGGAUGAUUUUGAUGGCAUGCGCUUGGAAUGGACUUUAUCUUCUAUUGAACCCAAAAAGUACUACGUCCCUACUAAGAGAUUCUUCAGCUUGACCUGCAACAAAAGGGAUAGAGAAAGAGUUGAGCAAAGGUACUUUCCUUAUAUUAACAGAACUGCACAAGAAAUUCUGAACAAGAGUGACAGCCUCAGCAUUUACACUUAUGAUCAAGAAUGUUCUAUGUGGGAGCCGACCGCUUUCAAGCACCCGUCAACAUUUGAGACCUUGGCAAUGGAGCCCCAGCUUAAGGAAUUCAUAAUGAAGGAUCUUGAUUCAUUCAUGGAACGCAAGGAGUUCUUCGAGAACGUUGGCAGGGCUUGGAAACGAGGGUACCUUUUGUAUGGUCCACCUGGGACAGGAAAAUCAUCACUGAUUGCUGCAGUUGCGAAUUACAUGAGAUACAAUGUAUAUGAUCUUCAGUUUCAAGGCGUUAGAAACGAUUACGAUCUCAGACGCAUACUCACAUCCACCACAAACCGCUCCAUUCUUCUCAUCGAAGACAUAGAUUGCAUCACAACAGCAUCACAUGAUCGAACCAAGGUCAUUGAAAAAUGUGAAGCAGAAGAAGAUGAAGAUGAGAACAAACGUCCCUUCUCUAUCAACUAUCGGGUAAUUCAUUUGUUUCUCUCCUUAUCUUGGUUUGAUUGACGUUGAAACAAGUUUCUGAAGUCACUAAGUUAACAUAAUUUUGUAGGUAACACUAUCAGGCUUACUCAACUUCAUUGAUGGAUUGUGGUCGAGCUGUGGGAAUGAAAGAAUCAUAAUCAUUACCACAAAUCAUAAAGAAGAGUUGGAUCCAGCGCUGCUACGGCCGGGGCGAAUGGAUGUGCAUAUUUACAUGGGAUAUUGUAGUCCAGCAGGAUUCAGAAAACUUGCAGCUUCAUAUCUUGGGAUCAAAGAUGACAAACUGCUGAAGUGGCACAACAACUGAUGAUCAGUGAUGAACCCAAAGUUGCACUCCAAGGUCUCAUCGAAUUUCUUAACAGCAAGAAGGGUAUAGAGGAAGCUGCAGUUGAAGAGAAGACAAAAUUCAAUGCUUGCUGGGUCUGAGACACUGAAAUAUUUUUGACUUAAUUUACUUAUCUGGCUUAAAAGCGGGUAAACUUGUGGCAUUUACAAAAGAGUUUGACUCCAUAUCAUCAAAAGAGUGUGCUUCAUGACAAUCUUCAUGGUUGAAUUUCUUUCCUAAAUCAAUUUAGGAUCCUGGUGCAUUGAUGAUAUUGACAUUUUAAAUAUGAAGGGGGAAAUAACAUCAACGCAAAAUUCUUCCAGGUGUCCAAACAUUUCCCCCCUGAAUCUAACAGCUAUUUUCCCCUCCUAUACCAAUUUUUGCAGCAACCCAAUGCUUUAACUAAAAAGGAAGUUAUCAUAUAUACGUGGGCCCAAUCUGGGGCUAGCUUCUUUUUUUAUUACCAUAAAAUUCUCAGCAUCAAGAAAAGGAAAAGUCAGGUUGGGUUAACCUUCCAAACCUAAGCCCACUAAUCACAAUGUCUCCCCAAAAUCAUUCCUUCCCUAAUUGUUACUCAUCUAAACCUCUUUCAUGGUUUUAGGAAUGGUCUAAUUAUGAAUUUUUAAAAUUUAGUCUUUUUCCAAGCAACUAAUUUCUUUCAGAAUCUUUUUUCUACCAAUCCAUUACAAAAUUGUGAAAGGCUCAGAAGUGAAAUCCAGCCGUGUAUAUCAAAAUCUCUAAAUGAAAAACUUAUAAGAGAUUUCAAGGAAGAUGAGGUAGUGGAAGCUUUAAAAGGCAUGGCAACUCUCAAAGCAUCUGGAAUAGACAGAUACCCAGCAUUUUUCUACCAAAAAUUAUGGCAUAUAAUAGGAAAAGACGUUACUCAUUAUUGCCUUCAAGUUCUAAAUAAUGGGAUGGAUUUCGAGGAAGUUAAUAAAACCAAUAUCGUGCUUAUCCCAAAGGUACAAACCCCUACGAAUUUGGGACAAUUUAGGCCCAUAAGCCUUUGCAAUGUCAUAUACAAGUUGAUCUCAAAAAUGGUUGUUAAUAGAUUUCAAAGGGUACUAUACUUAUGUAUAGAGGAAGCACAAAGUGCCUUUGUCCCAGGUAGACAAAUUACUAGCAACAUAAUGAUUGCUUAUGAAUUACUACACUCUUUCAAAAAAAAGAAAAGAGGUGGCACAGAGUAUUUUGCUUUAAAACUGGAUAUGAGCAAAGCAUAUGAUAGAGUGGAAUAGAAUUUUGUUGAAAAUAUGAUGAAGAUGCUAGGUUUUUGCAAUAGGUGGAUUGAGCUCAUAAUAAAAUGCGUACGAACAGUGUCUUACUCAGUAGUAAUUAAUGGGAAUCGAUGGGCAGAAUUUAAACCAACAUAGGGACUUAGACAAGGAGAUCCAUUAAGCCCGUAUUUACUUAUCAUAUGUGCAAAUGGAUUCUCUAAGCUUCUGAACAAGGCUAAAAGAGAGAUUUUUUGAAGGGGUCAAAGUGGGAAGAGGAGAGCUUGCUAUCACUCAUUUAUUCUUCGUCGAUGAUAGCAUCUUAUUUGGGAAGGCAACAUUGAAUAACGCAAUAACAAUGAAGGCAAUAGUCAAUGAAUAUGAAAGUUUAUCCAGACAACUAGUGAAUUUCGAGAAGUCUUUGAUCUAUUUCAACAAGAAUGUUCAAGACGAUUUAAAAGGGCAGAUAGAGGGAAUUUGGGGUGUUUGGAUUUCAAUCAAUCCAAAAAAAUAUCUGGGGUUACCUACAAUGAUUGGGCGGAGAAAGAAAGGUGCGUUUUUAGAAUUAAAAGAAAGAUUCAUCCAAAAAUCAAAAAAUUGGAGCAUUCGCAACUUGUCUUUUGGAGGUAAAGAAAUUUUUAUCAAAUCCAUUUUACAAGCACUUCUGAUUUAUGCUAUGCAGUGUUUUAAGUUACCAGUUUUAUUUUGCAAAGAAUUAGAAAAUCUGAUGAGUACAUUCUGGUGACGCAAUUUAAAAACAAAUAAAGGCAUCCACUAGUGCAGUUGGGUAGCAAUGUGUAGUCCAAAAGAAUUAGAGGGUAUAGGGUUUAAGGAUUUAACAAUGUUUAAUACGGCUCUGUUGGCUAAAAAGAGAUGGAGACUAAUCACCCAACCUGAUUGUUUGUUUGCGCGAAUUAUGAAAUCAAAAUAUUAUCCACGUGAUAAUUUUUUACAUGCAAGGUUAGAAGCUUACCCCAUCCUUUACCUGGAACAGCAUUUGGAAUGCACGAAGUUUGCUUGAGGAAGGAACAGGAUGGAGGAUAGGGAAUGGCGAAUCAACAAAUAUUUGGAAUGAUACUUGGCUACCCACACCUGAUGAUGGAAGAGUAAAAGUUCAAAAUAUUAAUAUCAGCUAUUCAAAAGUAGCAGAUCUUAUUAAUACAAAUUCAUUCACAUGGAACUUACUCGAAGUAGAGCAAGCAGAGGCAAUAUUGUCAAUUCCCUUGGUGAAUAGGAUACAACCGUAUGUUCUAGUCUGAAGAGGGGACAAAUUAGGCGAAUACAUAGUACAAAGUGGUUACAAAUGGCUAAUAUCUAAGAAUCUACACCUACAGAAUUAUAUUACAGACCAAACUAUCACUAAAGAAUUUUAUUCAAAGAUCUGGAAUCUCCCGAUCCCAAGUAAAAUAAGAAUACAUCUGUGGAGGGUGGUGAGUAAUUUUAUUCCAACACUCAGUAUUCUCAAAUCUCAAAAACUCAGGAACGAUGAUGAAUGUCUAGUUUGUUCAUUUGGAGAAGAAAUAGUGGAAUACAUUUUUCGAGAUUGUGGAUUCACAAAACAGAUUCUACAAGAAGUUGGGAUGGACACCUCGCCAUCAAACACAAGACAAGUAUGGAAACAAUGGUUAGCAAGUUUCUUCCAAAUGAAUAACACUAAAACAUGCAUAGUCAUGGCAAUAACUAUUUGGGCAUUAUGGUACAAUAGAAAUAUAAUUUAUCACGAAGAUAAGAAGAAAAGGGUAUAAGAGGUUUCCAGUUUUAUUUUAGCUUAUUUUAAGGAAUUAGAGCAAGUUCAAUCAUUAAUAGAAACUAGAAUCAUUCCGAGAGAGAUGUUUUGGAGACCCCCCAUGGAAGGACAAAUCAAGGCCAAUUUUGAUGCUGCAUAUUCACAACAAAACUCGAUAGCAAUUGCGGGGGUUAUCUUAGGAAAUCAUGAAGGCUUUGUUAUGGGAGCAUGCUCUUACCCUUUAGGAAAGACAGGGGAUCCGACUACUGCAGAAGCAAAGGCGUAUCUACAGGCAAUCAUCUUUGAGGAAGAAAUGGGCUUUCGAGAUCUAGUGGUUGAAGGUGAUGGUCUAACUGUUAUUAAAAAGUUGAAAUUAGAUACAGAGGAUAUAUCGGUGAUUGGAAACAUUAUUAAAGAAAUCUAGAGGAAAAGAGCAAGCUGUUUUACCAUAAUUUUUGAGCAUACACCCCGAAAGACACCCCGAAAGACAAACGAAACAGCACAUGCCCUUGGUAGUCGAGGCUAUAAUCUAGAUAACCCAUACUAUUGGGUAGAAGAGGUACCGCCGGAGAUUGAGUACAUCAUCGCCAACGACCAGAGAAGAAGAUAGAAUUGGUUGAAAAGGACAUUUUUUACUGAGUCCGAGGAUAUAACACAAAUACGCCUAUACUUAAACGAUCUCUGAAGAAACUCAGUAGAAGGAGAUUACUAGUAAAAAGCUUCAAUUGAAGAUCUUUGCAGCAAAGAAAAGGCAAAAUCAGUUUACUCUACCAACACUUAUAGAAUGCAAAGAAGAGGAAAUGGGACUAUGAUUGAAGAGAGGAUUUAGGUUUUCAAGUUUAUUUUUGCUUUUGCUUUGUUUUAGGGCAGUUUCAUUGACGUUUCAUUCAUCUUUCAGGCUUUUAUUUAGUAAGCAUAACCGAGGCACCGCCUCAGCUACAAACAAUAGUAUGACAGCUGCUUGACAGCUA
RNAcentral lists this long non-coding RNA (4951 nucleotides) under Gossypium barbadense (sea-island cotton). Its description in RNAcentral is "long non-coding RNA (GBAR_LNC010211)". Lineage: Eukaryota; Viridiplantae; Streptophyta; Magnoliopsida; Malvales; Malvaceae. The record is from RNAcentral.